Molecule: long non-coding RNA, 443 nt
Organism: Felis catus (domestic cat)
Lineage: Eukaryota; Metazoa; Chordata; Mammalia; Carnivora; Felidae
Exons: 3
Source: RefSeq, a predicted model, not a curated record
CAAAGAGCUGAUUGACUGUAGGCCUCCACGUCUGCCACCUAAACAGCCACCGAACUUCAUCAUCCUGGCUAGAUCCCAAAGGUAAACUGUCAUAAUAUACCUAGGAUCUGAGAAGUCUGUUUCAAGCAGUUGCGCAGGAUGAGCCUACUCUCCAGUGGUGCCCACCAGUCUGAUGAAACCACUGCUUGCCCGUGAGACCUUAUGUGGGUUAUAAAGAUGGUCGAAGGAAUAUUUCCACUCAGGUCUGAUCUCCAUGACCACCAAGACAGAAGCAAGCCCUGACAACCUUCCCAGGCGGAAGGAGAAUUUGAAGACAUAUCCUGUGGGAUAUUCUAUCUGUUCCCCUGAGGUGCAUGAAAGCAAAGAAGGCCAUUGAUCCCACACAGAGGUACCAAUGGCAGGGAUGCUGAGAAUCUACCAAAUAAAUCCAUAUUUUGUUUUUA